Non-coding RNA from Homo sapiens (human), 355 nucleotides. The record is from the annotation of a RefSeq genome assembly. NCBI's taxonomy places the organism in Eukaryota, Metazoa, Chordata, Mammalia, Primates, Hominidae.
AUGGACAUGAGGGUCCCCACUCAGCUCCAGGGGCUCCUGCUGCUCUGGCUCCCAGGAGUCAGAUGUAAUUUCCAGAUGACUCAGUCUCCAUCCUCCCUGACUGCAUCUGUAGGAGAGAGAGUCACCAUCACUUGCUGGGCGAGUCAGGGCAUUUGCAAUUAUUUAAGCUAGUAUCAGUAGAAACUAGAGAAUCCUCCUAAGCUCCUGAUCUAUGCUGCAUCCAGUUUGCAAUCUGGGGUCCCGUCACGGUUCAGUGGCAGUAGGUCUGGGACACAUUUCACACAUUCUCACCAUCAGGAGCCUGCAACCUGAAGAUGUUAUAACUUAUUGCUGUCUAUAGACUUACAGCAGCCAU